RNAcentral lists this ribosomal RNA (301 nucleotides) under uncultured bacterium. RNAcentral describes it as "partial 16S ribosomal RNA". It matches the Rfam family "Bacterial small subunit ribosomal RNA", at positions 509 to 809 of the family's 1533-position model. The record is from RNAcentral.
CAGCCGCCACGGUAAUACGUAGGUGGCAAGCGUUGUCCGGAAUUAUUGGGCGUAAAGGGCUCGCAGGCGGUUUCUUAAGUCUGAUGUGAAAGCCCCCGGCUCAACCGGGGAGGGUCAUUGGAAACUGGGAAACUUGAGUGCAGAAGAGGAGAGUGGAAUUCCACGUGUAGCGGUGAAAUGCGUAGAGAUGUGGAGGAACACCAGUGACGAAGGCGACUCUCUGGUCUGUAACUGACGCUGAGGAGCGAAAGCGUGGGGAGCGAACAGGAUUAGAUACCCCCGUAGUCCCUGUCUCUUAUAA